GGAGCAGGAAGUGAUUUGCUCUACACAGUAACUCUUUGUUGCUCUUGGUGGGAGCGCUGCAUUGUCCCUUGCAAAAGCCCCCCCCCCCCCCCACCUCAGGCUGCUGCUCCGGGAGCCCCCGCGAGCUGUGGCUGCAGCCGGGCGAGGUGACUAUCCAGAAGUAGCAAUCCCCCCCUCAGAUCCCCCAGUUUGCAAACCCCAACCUGCCCCGGACACCCGCCCCCCGCCUGGGGAAGCAGAACUUCCACCAAAGGAGGGGGCCCCCGGACGAUCCCCGCUGAGCAGCCCCCUGCUCCCCAGUGAGGACACCCCUUGGAGCAAAGGCUGCAGAGUAACCACCAGCUUGUCCCAUCCUCCCAGGGCCCAGGGCAGGGAAAUGGCUGCAGUGAUAUCGGCUCAGGGGUCAGUGGCCUUCGAGGAGGUGGCUGUGUAUUUCAC
Molecule: non-coding RNA, 438 nt
Organism: Chelonoidis abingdonii (Abingdon island giant tortoise)
Lineage: Eukaryota; Metazoa; Chordata; Testudines; Testudinidae
Source: RefSeq, a predicted model, not a curated record